This 253-nucleotide ribosomal RNA is filed under the name uncultured bacterium. RNAcentral describes it as "partial 16S ribosomal RNA". It matches the Rfam family "Bacterial small subunit ribosomal RNA", at positions 524 to 776 of the family's 1533-position model. The record is from RNAcentral.
UACGGAGGGAGCUAGCGUUGUUCGGAUAUACUGGGCGUAAAGCGCACGUAGGCGGCGCAGCAAGUCAGGGGUGAAAUCCCGGAGCUCAACUCCGGAACUGCCUUUGAAACUGCAGUGCUAGAAUUCUGGAGAGGCGAGUGGAAUUCCGAGUGUAGAGGUGAAAUUCGUAGAUAUUCGGAAGAACACCAGUGGCGAAGGCGACUUACUGGACACAUAUUGACGCUGAGGUGCGAAAGCGUGGGGAGCAAACAGG